UGAGGAAUAUUGGUCAAUGGACGAGAAUCUGAACCAGCCAAGUAGCGUGAAGGAUGAAGGCUCUAUGGGUCGUAAACUUCUUUUAUAUGGGAAUAAAGUGAGCCACGUGUGGCUUUUUGUAUGUACCAUAUGAAUAAGGACCGGCUAACUCCGUGCCAGCAGCCGCGGUAAUACGGAGGGGGCAAGCGUUGUCCGGAAUGAUUGGGCGUAAAGGGCGCGUAGGCGGCCUGGUAAGUUUGGAGUGAAAGUCCUAUUUUUAAGGUGGGAAUUGCUUUGAAAACUGCUGGGCUUGAGUGCAGGAGAGGUUAGUGGAAUUCCCGGUGUAGCGGUGAAAUGCGUAGAGAUCGGGAGGAACACCAGUGGCGAAGGCGACUAACUGGACUGUAACUGACGCUGAGGCGCGAAAGUGUGGGGAGCAAACA
Molecule: ribosomal RNA, 422 nt
Filed under: uncultured bacterium
Lineage: Bacteria
Description: bacterial SSU rRNA
Rfam family: Bacterial small subunit ribosomal RNA
Source: RNAcentral